CCCCUCUCAGGGUUGCAUCUGGAGAGUUUCCUGUACUCUACCAAUCUCGGCUACGGGAGGGAGAGACAAGCAGAGGCCCGUCCAUUCCAUUCCUAGUUUGGGCAGUGGCUAGCAGGUGGAAAGCAAUCUGCUACAAGU
Ornithorhynchus anatinus (platypus) is the source of this 138-nucleotide small nucleolar RNA. The record is from RefSeq and is a predicted model, not a curated record. NCBI's taxonomy places the organism in Eukaryota, Metazoa, Chordata, Mammalia, Monotremata, Ornithorhynchidae.